This 200-nucleotide ribosomal RNA is filed under the name uncultured bacterium. Its description in RNAcentral is "partial 16S ribosomal RNA". It matches the Rfam family "Bacterial small subunit ribosomal RNA", at positions 8 to 232 of the family's 1533-position model. The record is from RNAcentral.
AGAGUUUGAUCCUGGCUCAGAGCGAACGCUGGCGGCAUGCUUAACACAUGCAAGUCGCACGGGCAGCUUCGGCUGUCAGUGGCGGACGGGUGAGUAACGCGUAGGUAUCUAUCCUCGGGUGGGGGACAACCACGGGAAACUGUGGCUAAUACCGCAUGAUGACUGAGGUCCAAAGGCGCAAGUCGCCUGGGGAGGAGCCU